Molecule: ribosomal RNA, 253 nt
Filed under: uncultured bacterium
Lineage: Bacteria
Description: partial 16S ribosomal RNA
Rfam family: Bacterial small subunit ribosomal RNA
Source: RNAcentral
UACAGAGGUCUCAAGCGUUGUUCGGAUUCAUUGGGCGUAAAGGGUGCGUAGGCGGCGCGGUAAGUCGGGUGUGAAAUCCCCGGGCUCAACCCGGGAACUGCGUCCGAUACUGGCAGGCUUGAAUCCGGGAGAGGGAUGCGGAAUUCCAGGUGUAGCGGUGAAAUGCGUAGAUAUCUGGAGGAACACCGGUGGCGAAGGCAGCUCGCUAAGCCACCAUUGACGCUGAGGCACGAAAGCGUGGGUAGCAAACAGG